Corvus hawaiiensis (hawaiian crow) is the source of this 589-nucleotide long non-coding RNA. RefSeq lists it as uncharacterized. The record is from RefSeq and is a predicted model, not a curated record. The transcript is spliced from 3 exons. Lineage: Eukaryota; Metazoa; Chordata; Aves; Passeriformes; Corvidae.
GAUUUUGAAGUCUUAAUAUUUUCUCUUUUAAAUAAAGACUUAGGGAUGCAUUUCCCCAGGUUUAAAAGAAAAGCAACAACAUUGGAAAACAACAAUAUUCCAUCCUUCUACCAUCACCAGACUGCAACCUCUCUGUGUCAUCCCAGGAGCCUCCUGAGCAGAUUUACCCAAUGCUGGUGUGGUGCUGAAGCCUGAGCAAUGAUCCUGUGUGUCUUCUGUCAUGUGACAAAGCUACAGCUGUCAGCAAGAGGACUGGAAGAAUGAAUCCUGUUCCCUGAAAUGCAGCUGGAGAACGAGGGCAGAUCAGGCCACCCUGGACCUCAGGAGAUUGAUAGUGUUGGCAGCUGAGGAUCUAAUUAUGGAUUAUUUGGGUCGGACUCUUUUAUCCCAGGAUGAAGAACGGAGCUAAAUCCAGUAGACCUUGUUUUGGCAAAACUCCCGCUGAAGUCAGGGAGGGUUUUGUGAAAGGAAGGCCAGCGUGGUUUGUCUCCCAGUUCCUGCUGAUUAUUUGGGACAUGUUUGCUCCCUCUCCAAGCCCUCAGAGCUGCUCACCCAGGGUGACACCACCACGGGAAUCAGGGAAAUCGGU